GACGUAGGGGGCUAGAGUUGUCCGGAUUUACUGGGUGUAAAGGGUGCUCAGGUGGAUUUGUAAGUCAGAGGUGAAAUUCCAGAGCUUAACUUUGGAGCUGCCUUUGAUACUGCAAGUCUUGAGUUUGGGAGAGGGUAAUGGAAUAUCUGGUGUAGCAGUGAAAUGCGUAGAUAUCAGAUAGAACACCAAUGGCGAAGGCAGUUACCUGGCUCAAAACUGACGCUAAAGCACGAAAGUGUGGGGAGCAAACAGG
This 253-nucleotide ribosomal RNA is filed under the name uncultured bacterium. RNAcentral's name for it is "partial 16S ribosomal RNA". It matches the Rfam family "Bacterial small subunit ribosomal RNA", at positions 524 to 776 of the family's 1533-position model. The record is from RNAcentral.